AGCUGAUCCAGAUCCAUGUCUGAUCCAAGGCCUAAAUCAAGGCAGAUCUGAAAUCAAGAUCGAGCAAAUCUAAGGCCCAGAUGCAGGCCAAUUCGAAGCCAGAUCCAGCCCAAUUCGAAGUCUGAUCCAGGCCUGAUUCGAAGUCAAAUUCAGGUCAAUCUGAAGUCCAGAAUCAGGCUAAUCCGAAGUCAGAUCUAGACCAAUCCAAAGUCCACAAUUAGGCUAAUCCGAAGCUAGACCCAGGCCAACUCAAAGUCAAGAA
RNAcentral lists this long non-coding RNA (262 nucleotides) under Elaeis guineensis (African oil palm). RNAcentral describes it as "long non-coding RNA (EGUI_LNC048935)". The record is from RNAcentral. Lineage: Eukaryota; Viridiplantae; Streptophyta; Magnoliopsida; Arecales; Arecaceae.